GACGAACGCUGGCGGCGUGCUUAACACAUGCAAGUCGAACGAAGUGGCGAACGGGUGAGUAACGCGUAAUCAACCUGCCCUUCAGAGGGGGACAACAGUUGGAAACGACUGCUAAUACCGCAUACUGAAGGAGGGGAUUGCGUUUGCUUAGCGAGUUGGAGGGGUAACGGCCCACCAAGGCGAUGAUCAGGAGACGGUCUGAGAGGCUGAACGGCCACAUUGGGACUGAGACACGGCCCAAACUCCUACGGGAGGCAGCAGUGGGGAAUCUUGCGCUAUGGGCGCAAGCCUGACGGAGCAACGCCGCGUGAGUGAAGAAGGUUUGCGGGUCGUAAAGCUCUGUUGUAAGGGAAGCGGUAUCUUACCAGAAAGCCACGGCUAACUACGUGCCAGCCGCCGCGGUAAUAC
Molecule: ribosomal RNA, 408 nt
Filed under: uncultured bacterium
Lineage: Bacteria
Description: partial 16S ribosomal RNA
Rfam family: Bacterial small subunit ribosomal RNA
Source: RNAcentral